AUGGCUGCCCUCAGAUCCUUUGUGAAGCCCAAGAUCAUCAAAAAGACAACUAAGAGGUUUAUCUGGCACCAGUCAGACCAAUAUGUCAAAAUUUAGCUUAACUGGCAGAAACCUAGAGGUGUUGACAACAGUGUUCGUAGAAGAUUCAAGGGCCAGAUCUUGAUCCCCAACAUUGGUUAUGGGAGCAGCAAAGAAACAAAGUACUUACUACCCAGUGGCUUCUGGAAGUUCCUGGUCUACAACAUCAAGGAGCUGGAAGUACUGCUGAUCUGCAACAAAUGUUACCGUGCUGAGAUUACUCACAGUGUUUCCUCCAAGAACCACAAAACCAUCUGGAAAGAGCAGCCCAGCUGGCCAUCACAGUCACUAGUCCCAAUGCCAGGCUCCACAGUGAGGAAAAGGAA
Molecule: long non-coding RNA, 404 nt
Filed under: Homo sapiens (human)
Lineage: Eukaryota; Metazoa; Chordata; Mammalia; Primates; Hominidae
Description: non-protein coding lnc-AVEN-4:1
Source: RNAcentral